GAUGAACGCUAGCUACAGGCUUAACACAUGCAAGUCGAGGGGCAGCAUGACCUAGCAAUAGGUUGAUGGCGACCGGCGCACGGGUGAGUAACACGUAUCCAACCUACCGGUUAUUCCGGGAUAGCCUUUCGAAAGAAAGAUUAAUACCGGAUAGUAUAACGAGAAGGCAUCUUCUUGUUAUUAAAGAAUUUCGAUAACCGAUGGGGAUGCGUUCCAUUAGUUUGUUGGCGGGGUAACGGCCCACCAAGACAUCGAUGGAUAGGGGUUCUGAGAGGAAGGUCCCCCACAUUGGAACUGAGACACGGUCCAAACUCCUACGGGAGGCAGCAGUGAGGAAUAUUGGUCAAUGGACGAGAGUCUGAACCAGCCAAGUAGCGUGAAGGAUGACUGCCCUAUGGGUUGUAAACUUCUUUUAUAUGGGAAUAAAGUGAGCCACGUGUGGCUUUUUGUAUGUACCAUACGAAUAAGGAUC
Molecule: ribosomal RNA, 472 nt
Filed under: uncultured bacterium
Lineage: Bacteria
Description: bacterial SSU rRNA
Rfam family: Bacterial small subunit ribosomal RNA
Source: RNAcentral